GGCGACAUGGCCGAGUGGUCUAAGGCGCCGUCUUAAGGAGGUACCAGGGACGUGUUCUGGCGUUGUUGGGGGUCAUCCGGCGGUCUUCGGGCGUGGGUUCGAAUCCCACUGUCGUCA
This 117-nucleotide transfer RNA is filed under the name Puccinia graminis f. sp. tritici. It matches the Rfam family "tRNA". From Rfam's summary of the family: Transfer RNA (tRNA) molecules are approximately 80 nucleotides in length. Their secondary structure includes four short double-helical elements and three loops (D, anti-codon, and T loops). The record is from Rfam by way of RNAcentral. Lineage: Eukaryota; Fungi; Basidiomycota; Pucciniomycetes; Pucciniales; Pucciniaceae.